UGGGGAAUUUUGGACAAUGGGGGCAACCCUGAUCCAGCAACGCCGCGUGAAUGAAGAAGGCCUUAGGGUUGUAAAGUUCUUUUAUCCAAGAGCAAAAGUCAAGUGUUAAGAGCAUGUGAUGUUGAGAGUAUUGGAGGAAUAAGCACCGGCUAACUACGUGCCAGCAGCCGCGGUAAUACGUAGGGUGCGAGCGUUAAUCGGAAUUACUGGGCGUAAAGGGUGCGUAGGCGGAUAUAUAAGUUAGAUGUGAAAUACCCGAGCUUAACUUGGGAACUGCAUUUAAGACUGUAUAUCUAGAGUUUGUCAGAGGGGGGUAGAAUUCCAAGUGUAGCAGUGAAAUGCGUAGAGAUUUGGAGGAAUACCGAUGGCGUAGGCAGCCCCCUGGGAUAGAACUGACGCUGAGGCACGAAAGCGUGGGUAGCAAACAGG
RNAcentral lists this ribosomal RNA (429 nucleotides) under uncultured bacterium. Its description in RNAcentral is "bacterial SSU rRNA". It matches the Rfam family "Bacterial small subunit ribosomal RNA", at positions 355 to 776 of the family's 1533-position model. The record is from RNAcentral.